AAUCCGUGGUAUGGGCACUUCUAAAUUAGCGUCUUAAAACCCUCCCAUGCUUCAUGAAAACUUUCUCCUUCUAAUUGUUUGAACAUAAAAAUUCCUCUUCUUAGCU
Molecule: non-coding RNA, 106 nt
Organism: Gossypium arboreum
Lineage: Eukaryota; Viridiplantae; Streptophyta; Magnoliopsida; Malvales; Malvaceae
Source: Rfam